UUUGAACUUGUCUAGCUACUGUAUGUUAAGAUCUAUACUCAAAUGGGCACUUGAUCUUAUGGCUUAGUUAGUUCAAUAUAAUUAUUUAGUAGUACCAGUAGAUGUAUUUGCUUAACCUGGUAUUCAGAAUCUUAUCUUUCCCUAAUGUUAGUCUCUAAUAAAUUGCCAUUUUCUUAAUUGAUCUAUUACAAUUAAUCUGAUAAUGGGCACUUGUAAUUUCUUUAAUCUGAUAAUUAAAAUAAAAAAUGUGUAAUGUACCUUGAACAUUCAGAAUUGAUGUUCAACUUUUGCAUUGUAAAGUCACAAGGAUUAUACGAGUUUAGGGAGCUUUGAUUGGGUUAUUGAAAAACUGAGUCUGAUAUCUGGUUGAUUGUUUUCCCUUAUAUUCAAUUUUUCAUUAAUUACUUCGACUCCUGUUCUUCACGUCAUCCUAUGUCUGGUUUCUUUCACUUUAAGGGGGAUUCUAUCUCUUGGAAAGUUCAGCUUAUUAGAAGUCUGAAGCUAAGGGGACUACAAAUUAAGCAAAUUGAAAAUCAUUUUUUUCUUUUCAAGGUCUUAAUAAAGUUCAUUAUUGGCUCAUGCUACAUAAAACUAAUAUGGUAUGGUAGUCAAAAUCUUAUAGACUUUUCUUCUGGAUGUGUUUCUUUGUGUUAGCUGUUCAACAAGACCGAUGGCC
RNAcentral lists this long non-coding RNA (676 nucleotides) under Panax ginseng (ginseng). RNAcentral describes it as "long non-coding RNA (PGIN_LNC003192)". Lineage: Eukaryota; Viridiplantae; Streptophyta; Magnoliopsida; Apiales; Araliaceae. The record is from RNAcentral.